Suncus etruscus (white-toothed pygmy shrew) is the source of this 141-nucleotide small nucleolar RNA. RefSeq annotates it as small nucleolar RNA SNORA72. NCBI's taxonomy places the organism in Eukaryota, Metazoa, Chordata, Mammalia, Eulipotyphla, Soricidae. The record is from RefSeq and is a predicted model, not a curated record. The transcript has a single exon.
CUAAGAAUAUUCUUGCUGUUCUAAUUCUGUAAUAAAUAGGGGAGGUUAAUCAUUUGCUAUAUUAAGAAAAUGCAUGUGUCCCCAGACCAGACUGAGUUCUUUACCUAACGAGGCCUGGUUUUAUAAAUUCUGGUGAUAAAA